UGCGACCCCAGGUCAGGCGGGAUUACCCGCUGAGUUUAAG
This 40-nucleotide ribosomal RNA is filed under the name Halfordia kendack. RNAcentral describes it as "partial 26S ribosomal RNA". RNAcentral also lists the same sequence under 1 other name. The record is from RNAcentral. Lineage: Eukaryota; Viridiplantae; Streptophyta; Magnoliopsida; Sapindales; Rutaceae.